GAACGGGUGAGUAACGUGGGCAAUCUGCCCUGCACUCUGGGACAACCCUGGAAACGGGUAAUACCGGAUACGACGCGUUCCCGGGGACGGUGGAAAGUCCGGCGGUGCAGGAUGAGCCCGCGGCCUAUCAGCUUGUUGGUGGGGUGAUGGCCUACCAGGCGACGACGGGUAGCCGGCCUGAGAGGGCGACCGGCCACACUGGGACUGAGACACGGCCCAGACUCCUACGGGAGGCAGCAGUGGGGAAUAUUGCACAAUGGGCGCAAGCCUGAUGCAGCGACGCCGCGUGAGGGAUGACGGCCUUCGGGUUGUAAACCUCUUUCAGCAGGGAAGAAGGACGGUACCUGCAGAAGAAGCGCCGGCU
This 364-nucleotide ribosomal RNA is filed under the name Streptomyces malaysiensis. RNAcentral describes it as "bacterial SSU rRNA". It matches the Rfam family "Bacterial small subunit ribosomal RNA", at positions 100 to 498 of the family's 1533-position model. Lineage: Bacteria; Bacillati; Actinomycetota; Actinomycetes; Kitasatosporales; Streptomycetaceae. The record is from RNAcentral.